Molecule: transfer RNA, 79 nt
Filed under: Lancefieldella rimae ATCC 49626
Lineage: Bacteria; Bacillati; Actinomycetota; Coriobacteriia; Coriobacteriales; Atopobiaceae
Description: Atopobium rimae ATCC 49626 tRNA-Ile
Rfam family: tRNA
About the family: Transfer RNA (tRNA) molecules are approximately 80 nucleotides in length. Their secondary structure includes four short double-helical elements and three loops (D, anti-codon, and T loops). Further hydrogen bonds mediate the characteristic L-shaped molecular structure. tRNAs have two regions of fundamental functional importance: the anti-codon, which is responsible for specific mRNA codon recognition, and the 3' end, to which the tRNAs corresponding amino acid is attached (by aminoacyl-tRNA synthetases). tRNAs cope with the degeneracy of the genetic code in two manners: having more than one tRNA (with a specific anti-codon) for a particular amino acid; and 'wobble' base-pairing, i.e. permitting non-standard base-pairing at the 3rd anti-codon position.
Source: RNAcentral
UGGGCCUGUAGCUCAGUUGGUCAGAGCGUCCGGCUGAUAACCGGGAGGUCACAAGUUCAAACCUUGUCAGGCCCACCAU